UACGUAGGUGGCGAGUGUUGUCCGGAUUUACUGGGCGUAAAGGGAGCGUAGGCGGAUUUUUAAGUGAGAUGUGAAAUACUCGGGCUCAACUUGAGUGCUGCAUUUCAAACUGGAAGUCUAGAGUGCAGGAGAGGAGAAUGGAAUUCCUAGUAUAGCGGUGAAAUGCGUAGAGAUUAGGAAGAACACCAGUGGCGAAGGCGAUUCUCUGGACUGUAACUGACGCUGAGGCUCGAAAGCGUGGGGAGCAAACAGG
This 253-nucleotide ribosomal RNA is filed under the name uncultured bacterium. RNAcentral describes it as "partial 16S ribosomal RNA". It matches the Rfam family "Bacterial small subunit ribosomal RNA", at positions 524 to 776 of the family's 1533-position model. The record is from RNAcentral.